AAUUAGGGAUCCUGUUGCUUCCUUCCAUCCAUCCAAUCCCUCACCCGCCGCCACCACUCUCUCCCUUGGGAUCCUCCCAGAUCCCCUCCUCAUAUCCUCCCGCAGCAACCACCAAUCCACCUCGUCUUCGGCGCUGGGCCAACCAGUGGCCGAGCCCGAGCUCCACUCGAUCCCUCUCCUUCCCGACGACAUGGACAUGCCGCCGCCGCCUGUAGCUUCCAUGCCCGCCGACCACGACCAGCUCCGCUAGGCCGGCCUCGCCCCAUGCCUUCCCUCCUUCCUUUUCUUUCUCCCUCUCUCUUUUCUUACCUCUCUCCUCGUCAUAACAGGAGCAGCCAUGGCGCCCGAGCACAUCGAGUUCGUCAGCCUAUCAGAUGGAUUCAGCUCGCGCCCCUCUCUCUAGACCUGCAGGAAACAUGGAGCCCGAAGCCAUGGCCGCGCCUCCCAUUUUCCUCGACCCUGGCGUUGCCAAGUUCCUCGUCGCCGGACGCCGAUGCCCCGCCUCAAGCCACUGCCGCCGGUCACCGAGCCCACCCUGACCUCGACCUGGACCGCUCCAGCGACCACGCCCGUUGACGCUGUCGCUCCGCGAGUCGCUGGACCUCGCCAGAUUUCACUGUCAGGUCCAUGCCGCCCUUGCCUCCACUCCGUCAGCACGCGCCACCGGAGCCCCGAUUUGCUACAGCCCCAAGCGCCUCACCCGUGCACCCGCCCUGAUGGCCUCCUCUACCCCGAGAUCUUCUCCCAUGGAUCCCUCCUUCUCCCCGCGUCGAGCACCAGCGCUCCAGGACCGGCGUUCUGCUGUUCGUCCUCGUCGGCUCUCGCAACACCGGCGCUGCCGGCAGCCGCGCCGCUUGAUCCACCUCACCGACGACAGCACUAGCAGGUCCCCGCCAUGGAUGCAGGAGCAUGAGCUCCCUCCUCCUCGUUGCACGCAUCGCCUGUCGGAGUCGCCCCGGUCGCCGCCUCGCCAGGCUUCGUCGGCCGGUGACCUUCGCGUUGAGGUGCCGGAGUUCACGCCCCCUGCACCUACAUCGCGCCUCUGCCGUCCUCUGCAUCGAAGCAGUUACAGAGGAGGACGAGCGCCUCGAACCCCCUUGUAUCGCUCGCUUUGACCGCGCCAGCGCGUGGGCCGCGCCAGGCCCAGCGCCCCUUCCGGCAUGCGGCUUCCUCCUCCACCCACCGGGCCAGGCCCACUGGUGUUGCUUCUUCGGGUUGGUUCUGAUAACGUCGCGUUUGUGAGGAUUCGUUCAACUUCGUCCGCUUGUCUACUUCAUCGACUCGUUCUUCUUCCUUGCGGGAUCUCAGGCAAGAUGACCAUACCCUCAAAAUCACUUCUAUCUUUGCUUGCUAGUUGUUCGCUCUAUUGAUAUGCCGCGAUACCUACCACUUGCUAUAUCAUGCCUCCCAUAUUGCCAUGUCGAGCCUCUAACCCAUCUUCCUAGCAAACCGUUGUUUGGCUGUGUUACCGCUUUUGCUCAGCCCCUCUUAUAGCGUUGCUAGUUGCAGGUGAAGUUGAAGUUUGUUCCAUGUUGGAACAUGGAUACGUUGGGAUACCACAAUAUCUAUUAUGUUAAAUUAAUGCAUCUAUAUACUUGGUAAAGGGUGGAAGGCUCGACCUUGUGCCUAGUGUUUUUUUCCACUCUUGCCGCUCUAGUUUCCGUCAUACCAGUGUUAUGUUCCUUGAUUUUGCGUUCCUUACGUGGUUGAGUGUUAUGGGAACCCCUUGACACUUCGCUUUGAAUAAAACUCCUCCAGCAAGGCCCAACCUUGGUUUUACAUUUUCCUAAC
Triticum aestivum (bread wheat) is the source of this 1791-nucleotide long non-coding RNA. RefSeq lists it as uncharacterized. The record is from RefSeq and is a predicted model, not a curated record. The transcript has 3 exons. NCBI's taxonomy places the organism in Eukaryota, Viridiplantae, Streptophyta, Magnoliopsida, Poales, Poaceae.